RNAcentral lists this long non-coding RNA (991 nucleotides) under Populus tremula. RNAcentral's name for it is "long non-coding RNA (PTRE_LNC001362)". The record is from RNAcentral. Lineage: Eukaryota; Viridiplantae; Streptophyta; Magnoliopsida; Malpighiales; Salicaceae.
UUUUCUUUUCUUUUCUUUUACAUUCAUAUUUACAAAGUACAAAAAUUCAAAACUAAAUAAAAAUUACAUUACAUAAUUUAAAAUUUACAAAACAGUCCCUAAAAUCCAUAACAGUACUGGGAAACCCUUCGGGAACAGUAUGAAACAGUGGUGGCGCGUCUUCCCAUGCACCACCGUCACUGGCGGCGCGUGGGUUCACGCGCCACCGCAAGCAGAAACAGGGGACGAGGUGGAUCUGGAUCGCCUUCUUCUCCUCUUCCUUUCCUCGCUGGCAGUGAGCAACGCCGUUACCUGCAGAACACAAAAAACGCAAGCAACAGUCUGUUUUAGUUUUAUUUUUCUCACAUCCGUUUCCUUCGGGUCUGUCACAGUUUGUUGCCCGAGAGUUCAUCCUUGUAGUGCAUCUGGUUGUUGGGCAUCAUCGGUGUUGAUGGCGGUUGGAUCUUGGUCCAGAUCUGCUGCACGGGUUUGAAUCGGAGUACCGGUUACUGAAGAGUUUGUUGGUGGUUUGAGACGGAGACACCGCUGCUGCUGGUUCGCCCGGAUAGUGGUCGACUGGAGUGAGGGCUGAGUCCGUGGGCGCCGCCGUGCUCAGACUAAGAGAGACGAGAGGAGGAUGGUGAACGGCGGGGAGAGAAUCGUGAGGUGCUCUCUGGUUUUGUUUCUUUCUACAAGUUAGGGGCGGCUGCAACGUGGAGAAGAUGAUAGCAGAAAAAGGGUGGGGGGUGGUUGUCGGUGAAGGAGAGGAAAAUAGGGGAAUCGCGUGGAGGCUAGUUCGUGGCUGGGGAAGCAGGAGCCGUUGCUGGCCAAGAGCUGCGGGCCAAAUGGGGGAGAAAGGAAUGGCCGGGUAAGAAGAGGGUCGGAUCCGAUGGUGGAAAAAAAUUCAAAAUCGGGGGGAGGCGGCUGUGUUUGGGUCUUUUUUAGGGUUUUUUGUGGUUUAGGGUUUUUGUAUUUUUUUGAUAGUUCAAAAUUUACCCCCAUGUAUCAAAAU